This 331-nucleotide unclassified non-coding RNA is filed under the name soil metagenome. RNAcentral describes it as "partial contains 5.8S ribosomal RNA, internal transcribed spacer 2, and large subunit ribosomal RNA". The stretch from base 1 to 120 matches the Rfam family "5.8S ribosomal RNA", at positions 35 to 154 of the family's 154-position model. The record is from RNAcentral.
GAUGAAGAACGUAGCGAAAUGCGAUAAGUAAUGUGAAUUGCAGAAUUCAGUGAAUCAUCGAAUCUUUGAACGCACAUUGCGCCCCCUGGUAUUCCGGGGGGCAUGCCUGUUCGAGCGUCAUUUCACCACUCAAGCCUCGCUUGGUAUUGGGCAACGCGGUCCGCCGCGUGCCUCAAAUCGACCGGCUGGGUCUUCUGUCCCCUAAGCGUUGUGGAAACUAUUCGCUAAAGGGUGUUCGGGAGGCUACGCCGUAAAACAACCCCAUUUCUAAGAUUGACCUCGGAUCAGGUAGGGAUACCCGCUGAACUUAAGCAUAUCAAUAAGCGGAGGA